This 112-nucleotide transfer RNA is filed under the name Candidatus Baldrarchaeota archaeon. Its description in RNAcentral is "tRNA-Leu". It matches the Rfam family "tRNA". Rfam says of the family: Transfer RNA (tRNA) molecules are approximately 80 nucleotides in length. Their secondary structure includes four short double-helical elements and three loops (D, anti-codon, and T loops). Further hydrogen bonds mediate the characteristic L-shaped molecular structure. tRNAs have two regions of fundamental functional importance: the anti-codon, which is responsible for specific mRNA codon recognition, and the 3' end, to which the tRNAs corresponding amino acid is attached (by aminoacyl-tRNA synthetases). tRNAs cope with the degeneracy of the genetic code in two manners: having more than one tRNA (with a specific anti-codon) for a particular amino acid; and 'wobble' base-pairing, i.e. permitting non-standard base-pairing at the 3rd anti-codon position. The record is from RNAcentral. RNAcentral also lists the same sequence under 1 other name. Lineage: Archaea; Promethearchaeati; Candidatus Baldrarchaeota.
GCGGGGGUGGCCGAGCCAGGUCAAAGACAAAACAAGGGGCUCGAUCAAAGGCGGCGGACUCAAGAUCCGCUGGCGUAGGCCUACGUGGGUUCAAAUCCCACCCCCCGCACCA